This 468-nucleotide ribosomal RNA is filed under the name uncultured bacterium. RNAcentral describes it as "partial 16S ribosomal RNA". It matches the Rfam family "Bacterial small subunit ribosomal RNA", at positions 28 to 507 of the family's 1533-position model. The record is from RNAcentral.
GACGAACGCUGGCGGCGUGCUUAACACAUGCAAGUCGAACGGAAAGGCCCUGCUUUUGUGGGGUGCUCGAGUGGCGAACGGGUGAGUAACACGUGAGUAACCUGCCCUUGACUUUGGGAUAACUUCAGGAAACUGGGGCUAAUACCGGAUAGGAGCUCCUGCUGCAUGGUGGGGGUUGGAAAGUUUCGGCGGUUGGGGAUGGACUCGCGGCUUAUCAGCUUGUUGGUGGGGUAGUGGCUUACCAAGGCUUUGACGGGUAGCCGGCCUGGGAGGGUGACCGGCCACAUUGGGACUGAGAUACGGCCCAGACUCCUACGGGAGGCAGCAGUGGGGAAUAUUGCACAAUGGGCGGAAGCCUGAUGCAGCAACGCCGCGUGCGGGAUGACGGCCUUCGGGUUGUAAACCGCUUUCGACUGUGACGAAGCGUGAGUGACGGUAAUGGGUAAAGAAGCACCGGCUAACUACGUG